RNAcentral lists this ribosomal RNA (460 nucleotides) under uncultured bacterium. RNAcentral describes it as "partial 16S ribosomal RNA". It matches the Rfam family "Bacterial small subunit ribosomal RNA", at positions 28 to 507 of the family's 1533-position model. The record is from RNAcentral.
GACGAACGCUGGCGGCGUGCUUAACACAUGCAAGUCGAGCGGUACGGCCUCUUCUGGGGUACACGAGCGGCGAACGGGUGAGUAACACGUCGGUGACCUGCCCUCAGCUCUGGGAUACGCCUGGGAAACUGGGUCUAAUCCCGGAUAUGACCUUUCCUUGCCUGGGGUUUGGUGGCAAGUUUUUUCGGCUGGGGAUGGGCCCGCGGCCGAUCAGCUUGUUGGUGGGGUGAUGGCCUACCAAGGCGUCGACGGGUAGCCGGGCUGGGAGGGCGAACGGCCAAACUGGGACUGAGGCACGGCCCAGACUCCUACGGGAAGGAGGAGGGGGGAAUACUGCGGAAAGGGCGGAAGCCUGGCGGAGCGACGGCGCGUGGGAGAUGACGGCCUUCGGGUUGGAAACCUCUUUCGACCGCGACGAAUUUUGACGGUAGGGGUAGAAGAAGCACCGGCUAACUACGUG